AACCAGUACCGUGAGGGAAAGGCGAAAAGAACCCCGGCGAGGGGAGUGAAAAAGAACCUGAAACCGUGUACGUACAAGCAGUAGGAGCCCCAUCACUCAAGUGCCUCGCACUGAGUGAUGCAAUAACAUCACCGAAAAUAGCGCCGAAUUUGCUAACAAGGUUGGUCGAUUUUUUCAAGCCGUCGCGCAGUGUACCUAGAAGUACACGAGCAACGGAAGUUAAAAAAUCGGGCAAGAUUGAACGCAAAGGCAAGCGGGACAUUUGAGGAUGGGGUGACUGCGUACCUUUUGUAUAAUGGGUCAGCGACUUAUAUUCUGUAGCAAGGUUAACCG
RNAcentral lists this ribosomal RNA (333 nucleotides) under Proteus mirabilis. RNAcentral describes it as "bacterial LSU rRNA". It matches the Rfam family "Bacterial large subunit ribosomal RNA", at positions 493 to 652 of the family's 2925-position model. Lineage: Bacteria; Pseudomonadati; Pseudomonadota; Gammaproteobacteria; Enterobacterales; Morganellaceae. The record is from RNAcentral.